RNAcentral lists this ribosomal RNA (254 nucleotides) under uncultured bacterium. RNAcentral describes it as "partial 16S ribosomal RNA". It matches the Rfam family "Bacterial small subunit ribosomal RNA", at positions 524 to 776 of the family's 1533-position model. The record is from RNAcentral.
UACGGGGGGGGGCAAGCGUUGUUCGGAAUUACUGGGCGUAAAGGGCUCGUAGGCGGCCAACUAAGUCAGACGUGAAAUCCCCAGGCUUAACCUGGGAACUGCGUCUGAUACUGGAUGGCUUGAAUUCGGGAGAGGGAUGCAGAAUUCCAUGUGUAGCGGUGAAAUGCGUAGAUAUCUGGAGGAAUACCGGUGGCGAAGGCGGCAUCCUGGACCGACAUUGACGCUGAGGAGCGAAAGCUAGGGGAGCAAACGGG